AUGGGGAGCCCGGCAGGAACUCUGGCAGGGUCUCCUUUGGCUGUUCCAAAGGCCAAUGAACGCGCAUAUAAAUACACAUCUACUCCCUCGACCGAAGCUCCAGCUCAAUUGUGUCAUUAUUUCGUGCUCAACAAUGGUGUCUUGUCGUUCUACCAAAGUCGACGGAAUCUCGCCGCUCUGUCAACCUCGCCGGAAUUUAUCCGUACUGCCGACUUCGUCAGAAUUACAAUGCGGAAUCUCACAAGCUACAGCGAUCUGGCAGGUGCUCGGUUUGCAAGAAAAACAGCGACAUCCUGCAGCAGUUCACCGACUAAGUCGGCAGCCUGCAGCCAGCAGGAAGCACGAGAAGCAGAGAAGCAGCAGCAGGCCAGCAGCGGAGCAGUCAACAGCAGCAGGCAGCCGGCGCACGUCACGGCGGUCCGGAGGCGGAGUGCGGCGAUGGUUGCCCAGGCCGGCGGCCGGCGGACCACAGUUGGCAUCAGUGAGCAGCCGCUGGUCGAGUCAAAGGCCUAG
This 513-nucleotide ribosomal RNA is filed under the name Triticum aestivum (bread wheat). Its description in RNAcentral is "partial small subunit ribosomal RNA". The record is from RNAcentral. Lineage: Eukaryota; Viridiplantae; Streptophyta; Magnoliopsida; Poales; Poaceae.